AAUCGCUGCUGAAGUCAGUGUUGUAAUGGUGAAUCGAGAUUUUUUAAAUGAAGUGGGUUUGAAUACUCUUGACUGUUUUGUAAAAUCGAGUUAUGUCUAUGAUUGAAGGAUUAAAGGGGUGUCUAUAGGAUUGAGUAUGCGGAGUGAAUGAAAUUUAUUGGAUUAAUCUAAUAGGACAGUCAGUGGAUACAAGAUCGUAAGUACAAAG
RNAcentral lists this long non-coding RNA (208 nucleotides) under Physcomitrium patens. RNAcentral's name for it is "long non-coding RNA (PPAT_LNC001783)". Lineage: Eukaryota; Viridiplantae; Streptophyta; Bryopsida; Funariales; Funariaceae. The record is from RNAcentral.